CCUACGGGUGGCAGCAGUGAGGAAUAUUGGUCAAUGGACGCAAGUCUGAACCAGCCAUGCCGCGUGCAGGAAGACGGCUCUAUGAGUUGUAAACUGCUUUUGUACGAGGGUAAACGCAGCUACGUGUAUCAGUCUGUAAGUAUCGUACGAAUAAGGAUCGGCUAACUCCGUGCCAGCAGCCGCGGUAAUACGGAGGAUUCAAGCGUUAUCCGGAUUUAUUGGGGUUAAAGGGUGCGUAGGCGGACUGUUAAGUUAGGGGUGAAAUCCCGAGGCUCAACUGCGGAAUUGCCUUUGAUACUGGUCGGCUAGAGUAUAGUAGCGGUAGGCGGAAUGUAUGGUGUAGCGGUGAAAUGCUUAGAGAUCAUACAGAACACCGAUUGCGAAGGCAGCUUACCAGGCUACAUCUGACGUUGAGGCACGAAAGCGUGGGGAGCAAACAGGAUUAGAUACCCGAGUAGUC
RNAcentral lists this ribosomal RNA (460 nucleotides) under uncultured bacterium. RNAcentral describes it as "partial 16S ribosomal RNA". It matches the Rfam family "Bacterial small subunit ribosomal RNA", at positions 338 to 795 of the family's 1533-position model. The record is from RNAcentral.